Odocoileus virginianus texanus is the source of this 2847-nucleotide non-coding RNA. The record is from RefSeq and is a predicted model, not a curated record. NCBI's taxonomy places the organism in Eukaryota, Metazoa, Chordata, Mammalia, Artiodactyla, Cervidae.
UCAAAGAACACCACCCUGGCCCCGAACGUGACUACACCCUCGUCUCCACCGCCCACCACCACGACAGUCCCGGUGUCACCGACGACUCUCACGCCGCCGCCGGUCACCACUCCAGCACCAGAUAUCUGUGGAAGCCGAAACAGUUGUAUUUCCUGUUUUGAUGGUAAUGCUACCUGCUUUUGGAUAGAAUGUAAAGGUAAAAGCUACUGUUCAGAUAAUUCAACAGUUAGUGAUUGCAAGGUGGUGAACACCACAGGAUUCUGUUCUGCGCCCACUGCCACACCAACGCCAACCAAUUCUACAGCUAAAACCACAACUCUGCCUUCCACUACUACAGCUUCCACCACAGCUACUACAUCAGGUACAACUAAUACCACUUUAACUCCAACUACACAACCUAUGCGGAAGUCUACCUUUGAUGCAGCCAGUUUCAUUGGAGGAAUUGUCCUUGUCUUGGGUGUGCAGGCUGUAAUUUUCUUUCUCUAUAAAUUCUGCAAAUCUAAAGAACGAAACUACCACACUCUGUAAAGAGACCCACUAAGUUAACAAGGACUGGCGUGUAACUCACUGAAACCAAAAUAUUAUCUUUCAAGAUGUCCCACAUGGAAGACGCUAUUCUAGGAUCUUUAAUUUUUCAAAGGAUGCAUAUAGGAGCAUCACCCUUGAAGAAAAAUCAGUUAAAUCAUUUUGCUCACUGGGAAUAUUUAAAAUAUGCUGCAUGAAUCCUUGUGGCUGUCUUCUUUUAUUUUGAAUGGCUGCUGCUGUGGGAUUAUGCUCUCUCUUCUUGACAUGCCAAAUGCAACUGUAAGUGAUGGGAAACACUGUCCUGCGCAGACAACCUCAUGACUCUUUUGGCAAUUUAAAUGUAGUCAUUUUAAGCCUGAAAGCUGCAUUAUUUUCAUCCUAACUCAGGAUGUAGUUUAGUGACCAGAAUUGAGAAGAAUGUGCCAAAUGAGCAUCAAUCAGGUGGAUUUUUGGCUAUCAUUUCAAAAGUGGAAUAAAUUUAUAAAUUUAGUAUCCGUAGAGUAAAAUUUUGUGCUUGAUAACAGUUAUUUUUUCUACAUUAGAAAAAAGAUGCCACACAGGGAAUUACAUUCCAGAUUUAAAGAAAUGAGAGGAUACAAAACAUGAAAAGUAUAGCAGGUUAUUGUUCAUACUUGUAAAGCACCUUAUGUCAUUGAGAAAGAACAGUGCCUUAAAAGACAGACUGAAAGGUAGACUGUAACUUUUAAAAUGUUGGUGAUUUUUUCUUUUACGUUAAUGAAGGGAAAAGUUGGUCUGAGGAUGUAACUUGAUGUGAGCAGUAGUAAACCUGCUUUUAGAUACCACACUGUUAGUAUUUAAUUGAAAACUUACCUACUUUAUUUCAAGCCUGAGUAACUUAAAUGAUGUUCUACAGAGUCGAAAGCCUUCAUCUAUUGGACCUCCCACCAUUUUUGUUAUGGCUGUUAAAAAGUGUAAAGUUGAUUUAAUUAUGUUUCCUUUGUACUUCAAAAAGGUAACCUAACACUGUUGUACCUUAAAAGGAUUUCCACUGAGCUCUCUUGAAAAGUAACUUCUAUAAGGCAAGGAAGAAAUAAGUUGUUUUAGAAUCAUUUACUAACUCUUUAAAUGAGACAGUCAUUUUAAGUUUUGAGAUAGCAAAUGUGAGCAGUAUAAUUUCAGAAAAAAUUUUAGUUAAUCAGAUGACUAAAAUUUUAUUGAUAAUUGCCCUGGAUAAACAGAUUGAACUUCUUGUUUCUCCUCUCCCAGCCUUUCUUCUUAAGUUUUGAUUCCUGUUGUAGGAAAAGCAUGUGUACUUUUAUUUUUUAGUUUUCUCGUGAAGCACUAGUUUUUUUGAGGUUGGGGGGUAUUUCUUCCCUGCCUUUGACGCAUUGGAUUAGUUCGGGGGCUUAAAUCAGUUUAAAAUGAACUUUUGCUUUUCUAGGUCAUUAAGAUGUUUUGUUUUAGUUUCUUUAGCCUGUAGUGGCCGAUUUUAGUACUGGUUUUCAAUAUUUUAUAGUAAAAGACAAGUUGCUUUGGUCCAUUUCAUAAGCCAGAAUUCCUUAUAUUUAGAUAAUUAAAGGUUCUUAAAAUGAAGAUUUACUGUUUCUUUGUUACUUGCUGGUACAGCUAAAGUUUGUUUUACUUGCACAUUUGUACAUAUACCUAAUGUUUUCAAGUGCCUUAAUUGUUUAAAAUCUCUGGCUUCAAAGGUUUUUGGGAAAAGGUAGGCUUACCUCACAUUUUUGUGUUUCCCUCAGUAGUGAUAUUCUAGGUACCUCACAGAAAUUUUUAUUACGGUGCCAUAGCUGUUAGCUUUUAGUGAUUGCUUUAAGAUACAAAAUUGAGUUGAAAAUACACAGAAUUUCCAUUCUCCAAAGGGGUAAAAAUUAGCUACAAUGGUGUAAUUGUCAUUUACUUAGAUACAAAUACCUUGCCACACAUUAAUGUUAAUGCUAUAGCUAUUUCUGUGAAAAUGUAGCUGAUAAAGCCUCUCAUCUUCUGUAGUUUUGAAUACUGCUCUGACAGAAUCAUAAUAUGGAAUUAGAUUUUACAAGAAGAGCUCUUACAGUGAACUCACCGCCUUUUCCCCUCUUUAGCAGUUUAGUAUCUUGAGCCAUUAAUGAUUUGGGUUUUUUUUUUUAAUCCAGAAGUUAUAUAGAAACAUUUUCAGAUUUUUCACAGGAUUUGUUCAUGCAGAUUGUAAUUCUAUUAAAAUCCCGUACCUUACCUUACAGAUAAUUGUUGCACAGGCAGACACUGCUGUAUUUAGAAAUUUCUAUUUCAGUUCAUUAAAAACUGCAAAACCAAUCUGUAUCAUGUACCAAACCAAUCUAAAAUAAAUCUACAUGUUUAUUGGGUUAA